AUUGAACGCUGGCGGCAGGCCUAACACAUGCAAGUCGAGCGGAUGAAGGGAGCUGGCUCCUGGAUUCAGCGGCGGACGGGUGAGUAAUGCCUAGGAAUCUGCCUGGUAGUGGGGGAUAACGUCCGGAAACGGGCGCUAAUACCGCAUACGUCCUGAGGGGGAAAGUGGGGGAUCUUCGGACCUCACGCUAUCAGAUGAGCCUAGGUCGGAUUAGCUAGUUGGUGGGGUAAAGGCCUACCAAGGCGACGAUCCGUAACUGGUCUGAGAGGAUGAUCAGUCACACUGGAACUGAGACACGGCCCAGACUCCUACGGGAGGCAGCAGUGGGGAAUAUUGGACAAUGGGCGAAAGCCUGAUCCAGCCAUGCCGCGUGUGUGAAGAAGGUCUUCGGAUUGUAAAGCACUUUAAGUUGGGAGGAAGGGAAGUAAGUUAAUACCUUGCUGUUUUGACGUUACCAACAGAAUAAGCACCGGCUAACUUCGUG
RNAcentral lists this ribosomal RNA (484 nucleotides) under uncultured bacterium. RNAcentral describes it as "partial 16S ribosomal RNA". It matches the Rfam family "Bacterial small subunit ribosomal RNA", at positions 30 to 507 of the family's 1533-position model. The record is from RNAcentral.